This 374-nucleotide ribosomal RNA is filed under the name uncultured bacterium. RNAcentral's name for it is "bacterial SSU rRNA". It matches the Rfam family "Bacterial small subunit ribosomal RNA", at positions 524 to 898 of the family's 1533-position model. The record is from RNAcentral.
UACGAGAGGUCCAAACGUUAUUCGGAAUCACUGGGCUUACAGAGUUCGUAGGCGGUACGGAAAGUGGGGUGUGAAAGCCCUCGGCUCAACCGAGGAACUGCGCUCCAAACUACCGUGCUAGAGGAAGAUAGAGGUGAGCAGAACUGAUGGUGGAGCGGUGAAAUGCGUUGAUAUCAUCAGGAAUACCGGAGGCGAAGGCGGCUCACUGGGUCUUUUCUGACGCUGAGGAACGAAAGCUAGGGGAGCAAACGGGAUUAGAUACCCCGGUAGUCCUAGCCGUAAACGAUGAGCACUGGGCCGGAGCUCUGCACAGGGUUUCGGCCGUAGCGAAAGUGUUAAGUGCUCCGCCUGGGGAGUAUGGUCGCAAGGCUGAA